AUGGCUGCGGCGAUGGCGAUGCGAGGGGGGAGCAGCGACGGCGGCGGCGGCUCGGACAGGGGAGCCGGGAUGGACUCGGGGAAAUACGUGCGGUACACGCCCGAGCAGGUCGACACGCUCGAGCGGGUGUACGCCGACUGCCCCAAGCCGACGUCCUCGCGCCGGCAGCAGCUGCUGCGCGAGUGCCCCAUACUUGCCAACAUCGAGGCAAGGCAGAUCAAGGUCUGGUUCCAGAACAGAAGGUGCCGAGAUAAGCUGCGGAAGGAGUCUUCACGGCUCGAGUCCGUGAACAGGAAGGUGUCGGCCAUGAACAAGCUUCUUAUGGAAGAGAACGAACGUCUCCAGAAACAGGUCUCCCAGCUGGUUCAUGAGAAUGCGCAAGUGCGGCAGCAGCUGCAGAAUACUUCAGUGGCAAAUGAUGCAAGCUGUGAAUCAAAUGUGACCACCCCUCAAAACCCUAUAAGGGAUGCAAGUAACCCUUCUGGGCUCCUUUCGAUUGCAGAGGAGACCUUGACAGAAUUCCUCUCGAAGGCUACUGGGACAGCUAUUGAAUGGGUCCAGAUGCCUGGGAUGAAGCCUGGUCCGGAUUCGGUUGGUAUCGUGGCCAUUUCACACGGUUGCCGUGGUGUUGCUGCCCGUGCCUGUGGUUUGGUGAAUCUAGAACCAACAAAAGUUGUAGAGAUCUUGAAAGAUCGACCGUCUUGGUUCCGUGACUGUCGAAGCCUGGAAGUCUUCACAGUGUUACCAGGUGCAAAUGGAGGAACAAUUGAACUUGUUUACACACAGUUGUAUGCUCCAACAACUUUAGUACCUGCACGUGAUUUUUGGACUCUAAGGUAUACAACCAUAGUGGAAGAUGGCAGUCUUGUGGUCUGUGAGAGAUCCUUGAGUGGUUCUGGGGGUGGUCCAAGUGCAGCUUCUGCACAACAGUUUGUCAGAGCUGAAAUGCUUCCAAGUGGAUAUUUAGUUCGCCCCUGUGAUGGUGGAGGUUCCAUUGUGCAUAUAGUGGACCAUCUGGAAUUUGAGGCAUGGAAUAUUCCUGAAGUGCUUCGUCCGCUCUAUGAGUCUUCUAGGGUAGUUGCUCAGAAAAUGACUACUGCAGCACUCCGCCACAUCAGACAAAUUGCUCAGGAAACAAGCGGUGAGGUGGUGUAUGCCUUGGGGAGGCAACCUGCAGUACUACGGACCUUUAGUCAAAGGCUGAGCAGAGGCUUUAACGAUGCCAUCAGUGGUUUCAAUGAUGAUGGUUGGUCCAUAAUGGCUGGAGACGGCAUUGAAGAUGUAGUCGUUGCUUGCAACUCAACUAAGAAAAUUAGGAACGUCAGCAAUGGUGUUAAUGCUUUUGAAGCCCCUGGAGGUACUAUAUGUGCCAAGGCAUCAAUGUUAUUGCAGAGUGUCCCACCUGCGAUACUAGUUCGAUUUCUGAGGGAACAUAGAUCUGAGUGGGCUGAUUACAGUAUGGAUGCAUAUUUGGCUUCAGCACUGAAAACAAGCACCUGUCCAUUCCCUGGGCUGCGUCCGAUGAGAUUUUCUGGGAGCCAGAUCAUCAUGCCACUUGCUCACACAGUAGAGAAUGAGGAGAUUCUUGAAGUUGUUCGCCUUGAGGGACAACCUCUUAGUCAUGAUGAAGUUCUUCUUUCAAGGGAUAUCGACAUGCUUCAGCUUUGCACAGGAAUAGAUGAGAAAUCUGUGGGAUCCUCCUUCCAGCUUGUCUUUGCACCAAUUGAUGAUUUUCCAGAUGAUGCUCCCUUGAUUUCAUCCGGCUUUCGUGUUAUACCACUUGACAUGAAAACAGACGUUGUAUCCUCUGGUAGGACAUUAGAUUUGGCAUCUAGCCUUGAAGUAGGCUCUACUGCAGCCCAAGCCUCCGGUGCAUCUCCAGAUGAUUGUAAUGUGAGAUCUGUGCUGACAAUCGCCUUUCAAUUCCCUUAUGAGCUGCAUCUCCAAGAUAGUGUUGCAGCUAUGGCCCGUCAGUACGUUCGUAGCAUUGUCUCUGCUGUUCAAAGAGUGUCGAUUGCUAUAUCCCCAUCUCAAUCUGGUAUAAAUGCCGGGCAGAGGAUACUCUCUGGCCUUCCUGAAGCAGCGACACUUGCUCGGUGGAUUUGCCAGAGCUAUCAUUACCAUCUAGGGGUAGAGUUACUUGCUCAAUCAGAUGUAGCUGGGGAAGCAUUGUUGAAGAUGCUAUGGCACUACCAAGAUGCCAUCCUGUGCUGCUCUUUUAAGGAAGUACCCGUGUUCACAUUCGCCAACAAGGCAGGCCUUGACAUGUUAGAAACUUCCCUCGUCGCCUUGCAAGACCUGACACUGGACAAGAUCUUCGAUGAGCCUGGAAGAAAAGCAUUAUUCACGGAGAUCUCAAAAUUGGUGGAAGAGGGCCAUGUGUACCUGCCAUCAGGCGUGUGCAUGUCGGGGAUGGGCCGGCACGUGUCCUUCGACCAGGCCGUGGCGUGGAAGGUGCUCGGCGAGGACAGCGGCGUCCACUGCCUGGCCCUGUGCUUCGUCAACUGGUCCUUCGUGUGA
Molecule: ribosomal RNA, 2520 nt
Filed under: Triticum aestivum (bread wheat)
Lineage: Eukaryota; Viridiplantae; Streptophyta; Magnoliopsida; Poales; Poaceae
Description: partial small subunit ribosomal RNA
Source: RNAcentral